UGGGGAAUUUUGCACAAUGGGGGAAACCCUGAUGCAGCGACGCCGCGUGAUUUAGAAGGCCUUCGGGUUGUAAAAAUCUUUUCUAUGGGAAGAAAAUGACAGUACCAUAGGAAUAAGGACCGGCUAAUUACGUGCCAGCAGCCGCGGUAAUACGUAAGGUCCGAGCGUUGUCCGGAAUCAUUGGGCGUAAAGGGUACGUAGGCGGGUAAGCAAGUUAGAAGUGAAAUCCUAUAGCUCAACUCUAGUAAGCUUUUAAAACUGCUCAUCUUGAGGUAUGGAAGGGAAAGUGGAAUUCCUAGUGUAGCGGUGAAAUGCGCAGAUAUUAGGAGGGAUACCGGUGGCGAAGGCGACUUUCUGGCCAUAACCUGACGCUGAGGUACGAAAGCGUGGGUAGCAAACAGG
This 402-nucleotide ribosomal RNA is filed under the name bacterium. RNAcentral's name for it is "partial 16S ribosomal RNA". It matches the Rfam family "Bacterial small subunit ribosomal RNA", at positions 355 to 776 of the family's 1533-position model. The record is from RNAcentral.